GGAUGCGAUCAUACCAGCACUAAAGCACCGGAUCCCAUCAGAACUUCGAAGUUAGGUGUGCUUGGGCGAGAGUAGUACUAGGAUCGGUGACCUCCUAGGAAGUCCAAGCACGCUUAGA
Molecule: ribosomal RNA, 118 nt
Filed under: Oryza punctata
Lineage: Eukaryota; Viridiplantae; Streptophyta; Magnoliopsida; Poales; Poaceae
Source: RNAcentral